AUUGCAGUGAGAGUGGAAAAGGAUGUGGCGUUGCCCAGACAACUAGGAUGUUGGCUUAGAAGCAGCCAUCAUUUAAAGAGUGCGUAAUAGCUCACUAGUCGAGUGACACUGCGCCGAAAAUGUACCGGGGCUAAACAUAUUACCGAAGCUGUGGAUUGUCCGUAGGACAAUGGUAGGAGAGCGUUCUAAGGGCGUUGAAGCAUGAUCGCAAGGACAUGUGGAGCGCUUAGAAGUGAGAAUGCCGGUGUGAGUAGCGAAAGACGGGUGAGAAUCCCGUCCACCGAUUGACUAAGGUUUCCAGAGGAAGGCUCGUCCGCUCUGGGUUAGUCGGGUCCUAAGCUGAGGCCGAUAGGCGUAGGCGAUGGAUAACAGGUUGAUAUUCCUGUACCACCAAAAUUCGUUUUGAGCGAUGGGGGGACGCAGUAGGAUAGGCGAAGCGUGCUGUUGGAGUGCACGUCCAAGCAAUAAGACUGAGUAUUAGGCAAAUCCGGUACUCUUAAGGUCAAGUUGUGAU
This 514-nucleotide ribosomal RNA is filed under the name Enterobacter mori. RNAcentral's name for it is "bacterial LSU rRNA". It matches the Rfam family "Bacterial large subunit ribosomal RNA", at positions 1051 to 1567 of the family's 2925-position model. Lineage: Bacteria; Pseudomonadati; Pseudomonadota; Gammaproteobacteria; Enterobacterales; Enterobacteriaceae. The record is from RNAcentral.